UUUGAGAGUUUGAUCCUGGCUCAGGAUGAACGCUGGCGGCGUGCCUUAGAUAUGCAAGUCAAGGGGGUCCGAUGCAAAUCGGACAACCGGCGGACGGGUGAGUAAUGCGUGGGAAUCUACCUGGAAAUGGGAUAUAGCUUGCCGAAAGGUGAGGUAAUCUCCCAUGUGACAGGUACAGUAUUGUACCUGUUAAAGACGUAAGUCGUUUUCAGAUGAGCCCGCGUCCUAUCAGCUUGUUGGUGGGGUAAUAGCCUACCAAGGCAACGACAGGUAGCUGGUCUGAGAGGAUGGUCAGCCACAACGGCACUGAGACACGGGCCGUACACCUACGGGUGGCGCAGUCGGGAAUUUUAGACAAUGGGCGAAAGCCUGAUCUAGCGACGCCGCGUGGAGGAUUGAAGGCCUUCGGGUUGUAAACUCCUUUUGCAAGGGAAGAUUAUGACGGUACCUUGCGAAUAAGCACCUGCUAACUACGUGCCAGAAGCCUCGGUAAUACGUAGGGUGCAAGCGUUAUCCGGAUUGGUCUGAUGCAUCUUAUCUUAAAGACCACGGCCUAACCGUGGAUUUCGGUAAGAGAUGGUUAGACUAGAGGAAGUAAGAGGGCAUUGGAACCGAUUGUGGAGCAGUGAAAUGCGUUGAUAUGAUUGGGAACACCAAAGGCGUAGGCAGAUGCCUGGGACUUCCCUGACGCUGAGGCACGAAAGCUAGGGUCGCGAAGCAGAUUAGAGACCUGCGUAGUCCUAGCCGUAAACGAUGGAUGCUAGAUAGUCCGACGUACGUCGGACUGUCGCAAGCUAACGCGUUAAGCAUCCCGCCUGGGGAGUACGAGCGCAAGCUUAAAACUCAAAGGAAUUGACGGGGAGGCGCACAAGCAGUGGAGCAUGUGGUUUAAUUCGAAACAAAGCGAAAAACCUCACCAGGGUUUGACAUGUACUUGCAAGUCCCAUGAAAGUGGGAUUCCUUCGAGGGUAGUACACAGAUGCUGCAUGGCUGUCGUCAGCUCGUGGCGUGAGCUGUUUCCUUAAGUGGAUAAACGAGCGCAACCCGCACCGUAUGUUAAAUAAUUCAUGCGGAACAGGUCCGAUUUUCGGACAGGAAGGCGCGGAUGACGUCAAGUCAGCACGGCUCUUACACCCUGGGCUACACACAUCCUACAAUGGCGAACAACAACGAGUUGCAAACCGGUAACGGUAAGCUAACCUCUGAAAUUUCGCCUCAGUUCAGAUUGGGGUCUGCAAUUCGACCCCAUGAAGUCGGAAUUGCUAGUAAUCGCGAAUCAGCAGGUCGCGGUGAAUACGUUCUCGCCUCUUGUACACACCGCCCGUCCCAUGCCCUCAGUAAUGAGUGGAUAAACAUGAACAAGGUAUCCCUAGCCGAAGCUGGGGAUGGAUCACCUCCUU
RNAcentral lists this ribosomal RNA (1400 nucleotides) under Candidatus Daviesbacteria bacterium GW2011_GWA1_38_7. RNAcentral's name for it is "bacterial SSU rRNA". It matches the Rfam family "Bacterial small subunit ribosomal RNA". The record is from RNAcentral. Lineage: Bacteria; Candidatus Daviesiibacteriota.